This 92-nucleotide small nucleolar RNA is filed under the name Exophiala aquamarina CBS 119918. Its description in RNAcentral is "A. fumigatus snoRNA Afu_190". It matches the Rfam family "A. fumigatus snoRNA Afu_190". Lineage: Eukaryota; Fungi; Ascomycota; Eurotiomycetes; Chaetothyriales; Herpotrichiellaceae. The record is from Rfam by way of RNAcentral.
UUGUGAUGAGAAUCCAGCUGGCACCAGUCUGAGAAGACUUGUACUCUUUGUAUGCGGAUCAGCUUUAUACGGCAAUAAGCCUUCAGCCUGAU